RNAcentral lists this long non-coding RNA (366 nucleotides) under Pogona vitticeps (central bearded dragon). Its description in RNAcentral is "lncRNA (ENSPVIG00000014289.1)". The record is from RNAcentral. Lineage: Eukaryota; Metazoa; Chordata; Lepidosauria; Squamata; Agamidae.
AUGCAGAGGUGCUUUUUCCCUUGCUCUGGACUUUGUGGCAGGAAAACGACUUCAGCAGCUUUACAAGAGGAGAGAGAUCAGCUCCACAAAAAUUAUUUUAGACCUAUGCCAGCAGCUGCCCAACACACUCAAAUAAAGCCCCAAAUGGAGCGUGGGCCUCCUGAGAAAAACUGCAACCUAUUUCUCAAGCGGCCAGGACGAGGUCCGGAUGAAAGCUGUGAAAUUUCAGCGGCGCUUUUGCAGAGUAUCCCGGUGACUGAGAUAGAAGACAAGACCCUGCAUCUUCUUCUGACUGAACGCUCAGAGCCAGCAUGGCCAUCCCAUCCGGACAAAGGUAGCCCAAGGGAGAACGCUGGCAAGCUCUAG